GUGCUCACUUCAGAAGCACAGAUACUAAAAGUGGAAUGAUACAGAGAAGAUUAGUAUGGUCCCUGUCAAGGAUGACACACGAAUUCAUAAAGCCUUCCAUAUUAUU
Nannospalax galili (Upper Galilee mountains blind mole rat) is the source of this 106-nucleotide small nuclear RNA. The record is from Ensembl. Lineage: Eukaryota; Metazoa; Chordata; Mammalia; Rodentia; Spalacidae.